RNAcentral lists this transfer RNA (83 nucleotides) under Glycomyces harbinensis. RNAcentral's name for it is "tRNA_Leu_CAG". It matches the Rfam family "tRNA". From Rfam's summary of the family: Transfer RNA (tRNA) molecules are approximately 80 nucleotides in length. RNAcentral also lists the same sequence under 14 other names. The record is from RNAcentral. Lineage: Bacteria; Bacillati; Actinomycetota; Actinomycetes; Glycomycetales; Glycomycetaceae.
GCGCGAGUGGCGGAAUGGCAGACGCGCUGGCUUCAGGUGCCAGUGUCCGUAAGGACGUGGGGGUUCAAGUCCCCCCUCGCGCA